This 469-nucleotide ribosomal RNA is filed under the name Heteromycteris japonicus. RNAcentral describes it as "partial 16S ribosomal RNA". It matches the Rfam family "Bacterial large subunit ribosomal RNA", at positions 1981 to 2590 of the family's 2925-position model. Lineage: Eukaryota; Metazoa; Chordata; Actinopteri; Pleuronectiformes; Soleidae. The record is from RNAcentral.
UGGAGACCUGUAUGAAUGGGAAGACGAGGGCUUAACUGNCUCCUCCCUUCAAUCAAUGAAAUUGAUCUCUCCGUGCAGAAGNGGGGAUUAACUCAUAAGACGAGAAGACCCUAUGGAGCUUUAGACAAUAAGACAGCCCAUACAAAGCAAUCAAAAUUAAAUGAAGCACACCCUAUGCCCCCUGUCUAAAUGUCUUCGGUUGGGGCGACCAUGGGGAAAUACAAAACCCCCAAGUGGAACGAGAGAACACCCCACACAUACUCUCCAAAACUAGAGGGACACCUCUAAUUAACAGAACUUCUGACCUCCGAGGAUCCGGUAUUACCGAUCAACGAACCNAGUUACCCUAGGGAUAACAGCGCAAUCCCCUUUUAGAGUCCAUAUCGACAAGGGGGUUUACGACCUCGAUGUUGGAUCAGGACAUCCUAAUGGUGCAGCAGCUAUUAAGGGUUCGUUUGNUCGACGAUAG